Molecule: ribosomal RNA, 253 nt
Filed under: uncultured bacterium
Lineage: Bacteria
Description: partial 16S ribosomal RNA
Rfam family: Bacterial small subunit ribosomal RNA
Source: RNAcentral
UACGAAGGGGGCUAGCGUUGCUCGGAAUCACUGGGCGUAAAGGGUGCGUAGGCGGGUCUUUUAGUCAGGGGUGAAAUCCUGGAGCUCAACUCCAGAACUGCCUUUGAUACUGAAGAUCUUGAGUGCGGGAGAGGUGAGUGGAACUGCGAGUGUAGAGGUGAAAUUCGUAGAUAUUCGCAAGAACACCAGUGGCGAAGGCGGCUCACUGGCCCGAUACUGACGCUGAGGCACGAAAGCGUGGGGAGCAAACAGG